CCUACGGGAGGCAGCAGUGAGGAAUAUUGGUCAAUGGACGAGAGUCUGAACCAUCCAAGUAGCGUGAAGGAUGACUGCCCUAUGGGUUGUAAACUUCUUUUAUAUGGGACUAAAAUGUUCCACGUGUGGGAUUUUGUAUGUACCAUAUGAAUAAGGAUCGGCUAACUCCGUGCCAGCAGCCGCGGUAAUACGGAGGAUCCGAGCGUUAUCCGGAUUUAUUGGGUUUCAAGGGAGCGUAGGUGGAUUGUUAAGUCAGUUGUGAAAGUUUGCGGCUCAACCGUAAAAUUGCAGUUGAAACUGGCAGUCUUGAGUACAGUAGAGGUGGGCGGAAUUCGUGGUGUAGCGGUGAAAUGCUUAGAUAUCACGAAGAACUCCGAUUGCGAAGGCAGUUCACUGGACUGCAACUGACACUGAGGCUCGAAAGUGUGGGUAUCAAACAGGAUUAGAUACCCCAGUAGUC
This 460-nucleotide ribosomal RNA is filed under the name uncultured bacterium. RNAcentral describes it as "partial 16S ribosomal RNA". It matches the Rfam family "Bacterial small subunit ribosomal RNA", at positions 338 to 795 of the family's 1533-position model. The record is from RNAcentral.